RNAcentral lists this ribosomal RNA (253 nucleotides) under uncultured bacterium. RNAcentral's name for it is "partial 16S ribosomal RNA". It matches the Rfam family "Bacterial small subunit ribosomal RNA", at positions 524 to 776 of the family's 1533-position model. The record is from RNAcentral.
UACAGAGGGGGCAAGCGUUGUUCGGAAUUACUGGGCGUAAAGGGCGCGUAGGCGGCCUGCUAAGUCGAACGUGAAAUCCCCGGGCUCAACCCGGGAACUGCGUCCGAUACUGGCAGGCUUGAAUUCGGGAGAGGGAUGCGGAAUUCCAGGUGUAGCGGUGAAAUGCGUAGAUAUCUGGAGGAACACCGGUGGCGAAGGCGGGUCUCUGGGCAGUAACUGACGCUGAGGAGCGAAAGCGUGGGGAGCGAACAGG